UAUGAAUUGAAUACAUAAGCGAAAUAAUAAAUUAGGGUUUAUAUUCCUUACACAAUAAUUUAGGAUACCCAAUAGGGCUACGGGAAUGACCAUUCUAAAGGAACAACUAAUAAUCAAAAAAAUAAAUGAAAAUUAAACAAACUGAACGUCCUAUUCGUAGCGCUCUUGUGGAUCGGGCUCUGGAUUUUGGUUCUCUUAAUCUGAAAUGGUUAAUGAAAGAGUAAGCUACACUAGCCUUGUAAGAAUAU
Molecule: long non-coding RNA, 248 nt
Filed under: Carica papaya (papaya)
Lineage: Eukaryota; Viridiplantae; Streptophyta; Magnoliopsida; Brassicales; Caricaceae
Description: long non-coding RNA (CPAP_LNC015715)
Source: RNAcentral